This 440-nucleotide ribosomal RNA is filed under the name uncultured bacterium. Its description in RNAcentral is "bacterial SSU rRNA". It matches the Rfam family "Bacterial small subunit ribosomal RNA", at positions 338 to 795 of the family's 1533-position model. The record is from RNAcentral.
CCUACGGGUGGCAGCAGUGGGGAAUAUUGGACAAUGGGCGAAAGCCUGAUCCAGCAAUGCCGCGUGAGUGAUGAAGGCCUUAGGGUUGUAAAGCUCUUUUACCAGGGAUGAUAAUGACAGUACCUGGAGAAUAAGCUCCGGCUAACUCCGUGCCAGCAGCCGCGGUAAUACGGAGGGAGCUAGCGUUGUUCGGAAUUACUGGGCGUAAAGCGCACGUAGGCGGCGAUUCAAGUCAGAGGUGAAAGCCCGGGGCUCAACCCCGGAACUGCCUUUGAAACUAGAUUGCUAGAAUCCUGGAGAGGUUAGUGGAAUUCCGAGUGUAGAGGUGAAAUUCGUAGAUAUUCGGAAGAACACCAGUGGCGAAGGCGACUAACUGGACAGGUAUUGACGCUGAGGUGCGAAAGCGUGGGGAGCAAACAGGAUUAGAUACCCCUGUAGUC